This 402-nucleotide ribosomal RNA is filed under the name uncultured bacterium. RNAcentral describes it as "bacterial SSU rRNA". It matches the Rfam family "Bacterial small subunit ribosomal RNA", at positions 355 to 774 of the family's 1533-position model. The record is from RNAcentral.
UCGGGAAUUUUGGGCAAUGGGCGAAAGCCUGACCCAGCAACGCCGCGUGAGGGAUGAAGUAUUUCGGUAUGUAAACCUCGAAAGAAUGGGAAGAAUAAAUGACGGUACCAUUUAUAAGCUCCGGCUAACUACGUGCCAGCAGCCGCGGUAAUACGUAGGGAGCAAGCGUUGUUCGGAUUUACUGGGCGUAAAGGGCGCGUAGGCGGCGCGGUAAGUCACUUGUGAAAUCUCUGAGCUUAACUCAGAACGGCCAAGUGAUACUGCUGUGCUAGAGUGCGGAAGAGNCAACCGGAAUUCUUGGUGUAGCGGUGAAAUGCGUAGAAAUCAAGAGGAACACCUGAGGCGAAGGCGGGUUGCUGGGCCGACACUGACGCUGAUGCGCGAAAGCCAGGGGAGCAAACG